RNAcentral lists this long non-coding RNA (1086 nucleotides) under Homo sapiens (human). RNAcentral describes it as "HSALNT0374527". The record is from RNAcentral. Lineage: Eukaryota; Metazoa; Chordata; Mammalia; Primates; Hominidae.
GGAAGACAAAUGAUAGAAGGAUGAAGAGUGACCCAUCUUCAAAGCAUCUCUGAAGGGACUUUGGUGCCAUUGAACAUCAAAGACUGAACACUGUUACCACAGACCAAGUCCCUUAUUUUUUUAAAAAGACACAACCAACCCAGAGAGGCAAAUUAGCCCUUGGUUAUACAAGAAGUUGUAAGAAGCAGCAUAUCUCUUAUGUCUUUUCUUUGCAGUUGCUACAGAGUAAAAGAAAAUCAAUUCGGUGUAUUCUCCAGGAGUAUGGAGGAAAACAGCCCUUAUUUCAAAAAAUUUUGGAAGGAAGAAAACCAAAAUAAUUUGUGUGGUCAUUGUUUUGUAAUACUGAUGGUGAAAUGCAUGUGAAUUAUCCAGACACAUCUUUAUUUCAGCCAUCCUAAAAUUUUGACUAGAAUUACAUAUUAAACUCUAAUUGCAUAAAUGUAAUUAAAAUAUCAGCUCAUCAAUGAUUCAUAUUUAAAACACACAAAUCUUUCAAAGAAGUAUCAAUUAUAUGAACUUACAUGACAAGAAUAAAAAAAUGACAAUUAGGUAUCAGAAGAAAUCUCAAAGUCACAUGAAUGGCAAUAUUUUUCUUUUCCUAAGGAAGCUAAGAACAUUUAUUAUUACCUGAUUACUAACCUUUUAUUUUCAUGACUUAGAAGAAAACUAGUUAAGAAAUCAUAGUACUUUUGCUUACUCUUCCCAAACACAGUGUGUCAAUAAACAUUUAUUGCUAUAUUUCUUACAUAAAAGGGAUAUUUUAGGUGAUAAGUGUUUGUUUUAAUGUUGCAUACAUACACAACAAACAAAAUGCUAAUUUUCAGCAAGUUUGAUAUGCUUUAUUUUUGCUUCCUCCCCUGAAUUUGCUUUGUGAGAUUAUUAUACAGGUUAUGAUUUUGGGGGCCUUGGAAACCUAAGUAGGACUUUAUUCUUUUCUUUGAAUUUGAGAGUUUAACUACAUGUACGUAACAAUGUGCAAUCCAUCUUUAUGCAAAUAGUCUAAAAAGGCAAUGUGCCUGAAGGGCUGUUUUAUGGCAUUAUUUGGUUUUAUAUCUUUGCAAUCAACACUAUGCAGCUAACAUGGCC